UCAGGUUUUUCAUAACAGAGAUCUUGUUGAGACAGAAGGACAGAGAUGUGAGAAACUUCUCAAGGC
This 66-nucleotide long non-coding RNA is filed under the name Monodelphis domestica (gray short-tailed opossum). Its description in RNAcentral is "lncRNA (ENSMODG00000031681.2)". Lineage: Eukaryota; Metazoa; Chordata; Mammalia; Didelphimorphia; Didelphidae. The record is from RNAcentral.